This 243-nucleotide ribosomal RNA is filed under the name uncultured Eubacteriales bacterium. RNAcentral's name for it is "uncultured Clostridiales bacterium partial 16S ribosomal RNA". It matches the Rfam family "Bacterial small subunit ribosomal RNA", at positions 91 to 334 of the family's 1533-position model. The record is from RNAcentral. Lineage: Bacteria; Bacillati; Bacillota; Clostridia; Eubacteriales.
AUUAGCGGCGGACGGGUGAGUAACACGUGAGUAACCUGCCUUAGACAUUGGGAUAGCCUCGGGAAACCGGGAUUAAUACCAAAUAAGAUCAUAAUGACACAUGUCAUAACGAUCAAAACUCCGGUGGUCUAAGAUGGACUCGCGUCCCAUUAGCUAGUUGGUAGAGUAAAAGCCUACCAAGGCGACGAUGGGUAGCCGGCCUGAGAGGGUGAACGGCCACAUUGGAACUGAGAAACGGUCCAA